This 1048-nucleotide ribosomal RNA is filed under the name Staphylococcus sp. RNAcentral describes it as "bacterial SSU rRNA". It matches the Rfam family "Bacterial small subunit ribosomal RNA", at positions 40 to 1070 of the family's 1533-position model. Lineage: Bacteria; Bacillati; Bacillota; Bacilli; Caryophanales; Staphylococcaceae. The record is from RNAcentral.
GGGCGGGUGCUAUACUGCAGUCGAGCGAACAGACGAGGAGCUUGCUCCUCUGACGUUAGCGGCGGACGGGUGAGUAACACGUGGAUAACCUACCUAUAAGACUGGGAUAACUUCGGGAAACCGGAGCUAAUACCGGAUAAUAUAUUGAACCGCAUGGUUCAAUAGUGAAAGACGGUUUUGCUGUCACUUAUAGAUGGAUCCGCGCCGCAUUAGCUAGUUGGUAAGGUAACGGCUUACCAAGGCAACGAUGCGUAGCCGACCUGAGAGGGUGAUCGGCCACACUGGAACUGAGACACGGUCCAGACUCCUACGGGAGGCAGCAGUAGGGAAUCUUCCGCAAUGGGCGAAAGCCUGACGGAGCAACGCCGCGUGAGUGAUGAAGGUCUUCGGAUCGUAAAACUCUGUUAUUAGGGAAGAACAAAUGUGUAAGUAACUAUGCACGUCUUGACGGUACCUAAUCAGAAAGCCACGGCUAACUACGUGCCAGCAGCCGCGGUAAUACGUAGGUGGCAAGCGUUAUCCGGAAUUAUUGGGCGUAAAGCGCGCGUAGGCGGUUUUUUAAGUCUGAUGUGAAAGCCCACGGCUCAACCGUGGAGGGUCAUUGGAAACUGGAAAACUUGAGUGCAGAAGAGGAAAGUGGAAUUCCAUGUGUAGCGGUGAAAUGCGCAGAGAUAUGGAGGAACACCAGUGGCGAAGGCGACUUUCUGGUCUGUAACUGACGCUGAUGUGCGAAAGCGUGGGGAUCAAACAGGAUUAGAUACCCUGGUAGUCCACGCCGUAAACGAUGAGUGCUAAGUGUUAGGGGGUUUCCGCCCCUUAGUGCUGCAGCUAACGCAUUAAGCACUCCGCCUGGGGAGUACGACCGCAAGGUUGAAACUCAAAGGAAUUGACGGGGACCCGCACAAGCGGUGGAACAUGUGGUUUAAUUCGAAGCAACGCGAAGAACCUUACCAAAUCUUGACUUCCUCUGCCCCUCUAAAAAAAGAAUUUUCCCCUUCGGGGGACAAAAUGACAGGGGGGGCUGGGUUUCCCCCCCUCCGGCCCGAAA